GCCGGGAUGGCCGAGUGGAUCAACCGUAAGAGUUGAAAAGGGUCCAAAGGCGCAGGCCUUGAGAGCCUGUGGCCCUUCAGGGCCUCGAGGGUUCGAAUCCCUCUCCCGGCGCCA
This 114-nucleotide transfer RNA is filed under the name Candidatus Bathyarchaeota archaeon. RNAcentral's name for it is "tRNA-Ser". It matches the Rfam family "tRNA". Rfam says of the family: Transfer RNA (tRNA) molecules are approximately 80 nucleotides in length. RNAcentral also lists the same sequence under 1 other name. The record is from RNAcentral. Lineage: Archaea; Thermoproteati; Candidatus Bathyarchaeota.